UAAGAAAUCAUGACCUUUUUAUUUUGGAGGGGGUACAGGGACUUACUGUAUUAUUUUAUCUCAGCAUAAGCAAAUUCAACUUGCUUUAAUUCUCACUUUGAAGGAGAGAAUGUCAGGCUGCCUCCUGCUCUGUUUCACAGUGUGUAGCGUUGGUAAUGAGCUCUGACAGCACUCCUCCUGCUGCUAACUGUGUCACAUGAGCCGACGGAAGGUGACUUGAGACGUGAAGAAAUGAAGGUGAAAUGUCCAGCUGUUAAGUGAAUUGGUAUGGUAUGGUGGCUAGUUCCAAAUGAAAUGGCUAAGCUUCACCCCUUUGAACACUCAACUUCUCAGGAACACCUCCGUAACCAAAUGUGUGUGGUGUUUUUCCUAUACACCAAGAAGGCAAUCAGUUCUCAGCAGAUUCUCCAGUGGACACAAGGUGAGUGUCUAAUUCAGUUUAAUUGU
Molecule: long non-coding RNA, 447 nt
Organism: Pan troglodytes (chimpanzee)
Lineage: Eukaryota; Metazoa; Chordata; Mammalia; Primates; Hominidae
Exons: 3
Source: RefSeq, a predicted model, not a curated record